RNAcentral lists this ribosomal RNA (405 nucleotides) under uncultured bacterium. RNAcentral describes it as "bacterial SSU rRNA". It matches the Rfam family "Bacterial small subunit ribosomal RNA", at positions 355 to 775 of the family's 1533-position model. The record is from RNAcentral.
UUUGGAAUCUUGCCCAAUGGGGGAAACCCUGAGGCAGCGACGCCGCGUGGAGGAUGAAGGAUCUAGGUCUGUAAACUCCUUUUAUCGGGAAAGACUUAGGACGGUACCCGAUGAAUAAGCUCCGGCUAACUACGUGCCAGCAGCCGCGGUAAGACGUAGGGAGCGAGCGUUGUCCGGAUUUACUGGGCGUAAAGGACGCGUAGGCGGUCCGUUAAGUGUGAAGUGAAAUCUCCAGGGCUCAACCCGGAAACUGCUUUACAUACUGGCGGACUGGAGGGAUGCAGAGGUAAGUAGAAUUCCUGGUGUAGCGGUGAAAUGCGUUGAUAUCAGGAGGAAUACCGAUGGCGAAGGCAGCUUACUGGGCAUCAUCUGACGCUGAGGCGUGAAAGCGUGGGUAGCAAACAG